UUCAAAUGGUAUAAUAAAACUGGAAUUGUCAGGCACACUGAUACAUUAGGUAAAAUGGACCCUGCUCACAAGCUUGCAAUCUGUUGUAAAAGAUCUUGCUUUCCUACAAUCAUCACCAUAUGAGAACUAGCGAAGUAGAAAUAAACAUCCUAUUUAAUUCGUGUUAAUGCUUAGGAUUGAAUAGCUAUUAAUCUGGCAAAAGUACGUAAGGAUCGGUGUGAAAUAAAAAUAAACUAAUAAAUUUAAUCAUUACCUUAGACUAUCAUUUAAAUACAAUAGCCAAUUCGGGGAGGAAAUCGUCGGAAGAAGGUUAAUGGUAGACCUAAAGGAAAUCGUCGGAAGAAGGUUAAUGGUAAUGGUAAAGGUAAAUUCGCCAUUUUAUUUUUCUGUGCUUACCUAUCAAGAACCUUCUUUCGUACUAAGAGUAAAAAUCAUAAAGACUUGAGACAAUCAGUAUAUGUAGUGUGAUGUUCUGCUUUAAGUGGCAAAAGAUAAUUGCAGCAUCUGCUGGAAAAUUUUACAAGAUGGUUUAGGCCUAUGCCGAUGUAGCAUUUGAAUUUAAAAAAAGAA
This is a long non-coding RNA of Spea bombifrons (plains spadefoot toad), 570 nucleotides long. RefSeq lists it as uncharacterized. The transcript is spliced from 2 exons. NCBI's taxonomy places the organism in Eukaryota, Metazoa, Chordata, Amphibia, Anura, Pelobatidae. The record is from RefSeq and is a predicted model, not a curated record.